GAUCAUGGUUCAGGAUGAACGCUAGCGACAGGCCUAACACAUGCAAGUCGAGGGGCAGCGAAGAGGUAGCAAUACCUUUGUCGGCGACCGGCGCACGGGUGUAGUAACACGUAUGCAAUCCACCUGUAACAGGGGGAUAACCCGGAGAAAUCCGGACUAAUACCCCAUAAUAUGGGCGCUCCGCAUGGAGAGCCCAUUAAAGAGAGCAAUUUUGGUUACAGACGAGCAUGCGCUCCAUUAG
Molecule: ribosomal RNA, 241 nt
Filed under: uncultured bacterium
Lineage: Bacteria
Description: partial 16S ribosomal RNA
Rfam family: Bacterial small subunit ribosomal RNA
Source: RNAcentral